UAGUCGAAUAACCUCAGCAGAUUUCGAAAAUAUUGUUUAAAUAUGAAACAAACGGAUUGAAUUUAUUUAUUCUCAUGUUCGUAUACUUUCUUUUGUAUGCCAAACCAUGGAAAUUAAAUUGAUUGAAGGCUCUUGAAGAGCAACUAUAACUCUGCCUAAAGGAACAAUAUUUUAAAGAAUGCAAUGUUCUCCUCCAAAUCUAAGAGGAACUUGUUGAGUUUUAAUGAUAUUAGUCAAAAUGUUCUCCUCCAAGUCUAAAAGGAACUUGUUGAGUUUUAGAGAUAUCAGUCAAAAUGGAUAUCAGAUUGAGACAAUACAUGAGUAUAAUCUUGAAUACCUCAUUUACUCAUGAAAACGAGGCUGCCCACUUCGGUUUGGGGUCACGCCNNNN
This 391-nucleotide long non-coding RNA is filed under the name Nicotiana benthamiana. RNAcentral describes it as "long non-coding RNA (NBEN_LNC039785)". Lineage: Eukaryota; Viridiplantae; Streptophyta; Magnoliopsida; Solanales; Solanaceae. The record is from RNAcentral.